This is a long non-coding RNA of Triplophysa dalaica, 630 nucleotides long. RefSeq lists it as uncharacterized. The transcript is spliced from 4 exons. Lineage: Eukaryota; Metazoa; Chordata; Actinopteri; Cypriniformes; Nemacheilidae. The record is from RefSeq and is a predicted model, not a curated record.
CAAAUUUUUCUUCAAAUAUUACAGAUUGUUGUAUUCCUUUGGAAUAGUUAUCUGAGAAUCCUUAACACCAAUAACGAAGAACGCAUAAUUCCUAUUGCUUAUAAUAUUCAUUUUGUUAAUUGUUCUAUAACACUUUGGUAGUUUAUACGAGUAAUUAAUCUACUGACAAUAUGUCCUGGAAAAAAAGAAAAAAAAAUAUCCAAAUGUAUUCAAUUUAAAAAUUAAUCUUUAAUUCCAAAAUUAUUAUUAACCUUUUCAAUUUUCACAAAAAAAACUAAUAAUUCUUUAUUGAUUAUGAUUCUUACUUUCUUAAUUUUACUCUAAUUUCGAAAUCUUACUUGGAAAUUGGUUAAUUCUCCAAACUGCAAGGAUACUACUGCUCCAUACAUACCUCACCCAAAACAACUUCUGUGUCCUGUAUAGCAACAAGACAGGAGUUGAAGAAGUGAUCUUCAAACUACUAACAAAAACACAAUUUUUAAGGAAAUUAAGACCAACUGCAACUUCAUCUUACAUCUAAAGGAUCCACUAUGGGUCAAGCCUCUGACCAGUCAAAACUCUCUCUACAUAAAAUAUAAAAUCUUUGUCUUUGGGAACAUUUUGCUUUCAUUAAAAAAAUCACAAAACCAA